This is a non-coding RNA of Caenorhabditis elegans, 54 nucleotides long. Lineage: Eukaryota; Metazoa; Nematoda; Chromadorea; Rhabditida; Rhabditidae. The record is from Ensembl.
UGGCGCAGUGGGGAUUUUCGACGGCUAAUAAUCAGACGACCGGGGUUCGAUUCC